RNAcentral lists this transfer RNA (363 nucleotides) under uncultured Microcystis sp. RNAcentral's name for it is "partial 16S-23S ribosomal RNA intergenic spacer". The stretch from base 135 to 208 matches the Rfam family "tRNA". Lineage: Bacteria; Bacillati; Cyanobacteriota; Cyanophyceae; Chroococcales; Microcystaceae. The record is from RNAcentral.
AAGGGAGACCUAAUUCAGGUAGGAGACGAGAAAAAAGUAGUCGCUACCAAGAAUCAAUCCCAAAAGGUCGGAGCGAGGCGAAAUUGGCUUUCAAACUAGGUUCUGGGUUCACACAAGACCUGAAUCAGGAACAAGGGCUAUUAGCUCAGGUGGUUAGAGCGCACCCCUGAUAAGGGUGAGGUCCCUGGUUCGAGUCCAGGAUGGCCCACCUGUACAGGUGGCAAAAAGAAAGAAAAGAAGCGAGGAAUCAGCACCUUAUCUUACUGACAUAGUAAGAGAGAAUGCUGGCUCUGAGUAAAGAGUCCAGAGGAACCUUGAAAACUGCAUAGAGCUAGGUGAAAAAGCCAAAAAAGAAGACCGCAA